This 648-nucleotide long non-coding RNA is filed under the name Serinus canaria (Common canary). Its description in RNAcentral is "lncRNA (ENSSCAG00000016288.1)". The record is from RNAcentral. Lineage: Eukaryota; Metazoa; Chordata; Aves; Passeriformes; Fringillidae.
UUACAGCUGGAGUCUUGGCUUGGACUAAACGUCUUCCUUUUCCUGUUUUGUUCAGGGCUCCCAAAUCUGUAUUUUCUCAGCAUCUGGCGCUCCCAGUGCUACGCAUUCUUCCUAGCCGGAGAUCGGGAGCAGCGGCGAGGGAGGGCAGGAACAGAGAACCGAGCACUCUUUUGUGCGCUCAUGUCUAGCGGUAACACUUUUUGGCCACCCCAAACCUGCGCCUUUCCAACCGGCGCUGCUGUCUCUCCCGGAGAGGGAAGCCGCCGCGCCUUCCCCCCUGCCGGGCAGCACGCACCCGCGGCCGCCGCCCAUCGCGGCCAGGGGCCGGUAGGACACGAGCGCGGCUCAGCCGUGAGGGCGGGGCGGGGCCGGGGCGGGGCCCUCCCGUGUGCCGCGGUGCUUCCGUCCGAGCCGUGUCAGCUUCCGCCCCGCGCUGCCGCUCUUCUCCCAGCUGUCGACAGCUCGCUUGGGCCCCGACCAAUUUACAUCUUGGCAUGUUUUGUUUGGACUGCCCGUGCCCCACAUGGACAUGACCCCCUAAGGAUCCUGAAGGUGAUCAGUGGCAAUGGGAAAGACAUUAUAAGCAUCUCUCAGCUGCCAAGUAAAGAAGGUAAAACCUGUCCACACGAAAGACUUAUUAGCCAAUAA